AUGCAUGUCAAGAGGACUUCUAGUGAAUUCUCAGGACCGUUUCUUCUGAGGCAAGAGAUUCUGAGCAUCCUGCAGGUUGGUCAGCAACUCACAAACUUAGGGAAGCUGAUUGAACCUCCCAGGUGUUAUCCAAUUUCUGGCCAUGCAACACUUUAUUGGUACCGACAGACCCCAGGGCAUGGCCCAGAGUUUUUGAUUUACUUCCAAGGCAGGGACACAGCAGACAAAGCAGGAAUGCCUGGUGACUGCUUCUCUGCUGAGAGGCUGGAUGGCUCAUUCUCUACUCUGAAGAUCCAGCCCACAGAGCAGGGGGACUCAGCUGUGUAUCUCUGUGCCAGCAGCUCAGCUACAUUUAAGGCCCUUGUGAUUACAUCGGGCCCACCUGAGAAAUCCAGGACACUCUCCUUAUAUUAG
Galeopterus variegatus (Sunda flying lemur) is the source of this 414-nucleotide non-coding RNA. NCBI's taxonomy places the organism in Eukaryota, Metazoa, Chordata, Mammalia, Dermoptera, Cynocephalidae. The record is from the annotation of a RefSeq genome assembly.